AGAACGAACGCUGGCGGCAGGCUUAACACAUGCAAGUCGAACGCCCGUAGCAAUACGGGAGUGGCAGACGGGUGAGUAACGCGUGGGAACGUACCCUUCGGUUCGGAAUAACCCGGGGAAACUCGGGCUAAUACCGGAUACGUCCGCAAGGAGAAAGAUUUAUUGCCGAAGGAUCGGCCCGCGUCCGAUUAGCUAGUUGGUGGGGUAAUGGCCCACCAAGGCGACGAUCGGUAGCUGGUCUGAGAGGAUGAUCAGCCACACUGGGACUGAGACACGGCCCAGACUCCUACGGGAGGCAGCAGUGGGGAAUAUUGGACAAUGGGCGAAAGCCUGAUCCAGCAAUGCCGCGUGAGUGAUGAAGCCUUAGGGUGUAAAGCUCUUUACCAGGGAUGAUAAUGACAGUACCUGGAGAAUAAGCUCCGGCUAACUUCGUGCCAGCAGCCGC
RNAcentral lists this ribosomal RNA (445 nucleotides) under uncultured bacterium. RNAcentral's name for it is "SSU rRNA". It matches the Rfam family "Bacterial small subunit ribosomal RNA", at positions 26 to 518 of the family's 1533-position model. The record is from RNAcentral.